UACGGGGGGGGCAAGCGUUGUUCGGAAUUACUGGGCGUAAAGGGCUCGUAGGCGGCCAACUAAGUCAGACGUGAAAUCCCUCGGCUUAACCGGGGAACUGCGUCUGAUACUGGAUGGCUUGAGGUUGGGAGAGGGAUGCGGAAUUCCAGGUGUAGCGGUGAAAUGCGUAGAUAUCAGGAGGAACACCGGUGGCGAAGGCGGCUAUCUGGACAGAAACUGACGCUGAGGCGCGAAAGCUAGGGGAGCAAACAGG
Molecule: ribosomal RNA, 253 nt
Filed under: uncultured bacterium
Lineage: Bacteria
Description: partial 16S ribosomal RNA
Rfam family: Bacterial small subunit ribosomal RNA
Source: RNAcentral